UUUGUGGUUUAUGAUUGGUGAAUGGGACUCAAAAGUAUAUUGUGCAGUAAGCACUAAGCAGUUAUAUAUGUAGCCCUUAAUCCCCUUAAAAAAAAUCACUAAGUACCCCUAUCAGAUCAAAGCUGCCAAACAUCGGCUUCAACCCAACAUGGGGUGUAAGAUGAUCCCUGUGCUGUCAAUACUUGUUCUACUGUUAUCGCUUUCGCUACUCUUACCUCUAUCUUCAACCACAAACACGCACUUAAUUGGAAAUGAAAUCAACCGAGAGAUUGAAAGAAGCUAAUACGAGUAGGAGUACCAUGUAAUCGUCAUCCAGGGAGUGGUGCUGUCUGUAAUCCUCCUUAUGCAGUUGCUACCCAGACCCAGGAUCAUAAUUAAUCACUGCUACAUCUGGUAGUUUAUGUUAUAUAUAUAACUGUGAUUUCAAUGCAGAUUAUUAUGGAAAAGAUAAAUACUUAAUUAAUAAACCAUAAUUUGGGUAUUAA
Molecule: long non-coding RNA, 485 nt
Organism: Gossypium raimondii (Peruvian cotton)
Lineage: Eukaryota; Viridiplantae; Streptophyta; Magnoliopsida; Malvales; Malvaceae
Exons: 2
Source: RefSeq, a predicted model, not a curated record